GAGGUAUCUGAACUGGAAGUCGCCGAGAGCGGUACCUGCAACCAACAGAAGAACGGCUGGCGACGGAUCUUCAAGACAAACCUCCACCGCUGGGGGCGUGGGUGGCUUUAUUCCGAGACGACCGGGGGGAAAGAAGGGAAGCGGCCGCUGCUUGGGGUACAAGGCGCCCACCCGUGGAGGCGCGCACGCGAGGCCUCCCACCGCGCCUGCGCUGCGGCCGGACGCGGGUUCGCCUCUCCCAGACGCCCCGCCGUCCCGGCAGGGGUGAAAAACGGCGUGACACGCAGCGAGCGUGGCCGCCAUCUUCAGCCUCUGGGCACGUCAACGGAGCGGGUUCGGGCAGAAGAAGAGCGUUGCGCAAGCGCGCCCGAGACGGUCUCAGGUAACUCCCAUCUGACGGGCGAGGCGUCGCCGUCGUCGCCGGAAGUUUGGCGUUUCUGUGCCGCGGGAGAGGAGGCGGCAGCGGCAGCGGCAGAAGCAGCUGAGUGUCUGCCGAUACCCGGAUGUGAGACGGUCUGCUGGCUCGCGUCGGACCCUCGGCCGGGAGCGAGGAAGGUAGGCGAGCGUCCCGCCCGCCCCGCCGCCUCUGUCGUCCUCGUCUCCCUGCUGCCAGCCCCUCCAGAGAGCCGAACGCCUCUCCCCUUUCCCGUCCCAUCCUCUGGGUCGCGUCGCCUCGCACGCCUUUCCUCCUCCUCGGGUCCCGGCUCCGGGCGCCCCCGGGAGGGAGUGGGCGGUUCCGGGACGCGGUCGCCUGAAGCAGGCAAUCAACCUGCGCGGCUCGGCUGCUCGGCCGCCGCAUCACCUGCCGCGGCCCGCUGGGCGGUCGGAGGUAUUGAGGGGCCGUGGCCAGGGUCUCGCCUGGGCUUCUGGAGCCCCGUGGCGGCGUGCAGCCAUUGCGGCGGCCGGGGCGGUGUCGGCCCGCAGGUAGCCGGGCCUCGUUCCCGUCUUCUCCCCCGAAGCCGCUGCUCCAGCCUCGGCGGAGCUGCGGUCCUGCGGCUCGCUCUGCUGCCCGCAGCCCACCCGCUGACCCGGCGUGAACCCCGAGGCCUCUGCAGUCUGCGGUUGGGCUGUGGGGAUCCCGGCUUCACGAUCCUUAGCCUGGGAGGGGAGCGGUGGCCCUGGUCCAAGGUCAGAGAGGGAUUCUGGUUGGAACCGAGGAUCUGGGCGCAGGCCGGGCUGCUCUGGAGUAGAAAUUGGGUUUGUUGA
Molecule: long non-coding RNA, 1206 nt
Filed under: Cervus hanglu yarkandensis (Yarkand deer)
Lineage: Eukaryota; Metazoa; Chordata; Mammalia; Artiodactyla; Cervidae
Description: lncRNA (ENSCHYG00000020231.1)
Source: RNAcentral